UUUCAAACCAAGAAAAACAGUAAGCCUCAAGUUCUCUGGUUAUUCUGGGAAAUAUAAAUUCUACAAAGAAUGGAUCUUCGAAUUUAGGUUUUGGUUCGACUUCCAGAGGAAAUAGCAGUUCAAGAAGCGGCUUAAAUUCAUCGUCGCGAAGCUUUCUUCUACAGAGGUGAAAUUGUAGGUUAUCAAUUGGUAUGAGGUGAAGCUUGAGUUUAUGGCAAGAUACAUGUAUCAAAAAUAUAUGAGGGAGAAAAUUCUGAGGUACAGAGGAGGCAAAGUCCAUCAUGAUUCAUCUAACAAGUCCCUAAAUUGGCAAAGGGGGAACAGGAGGCUUACUGAAGAAACAAGUGAAAUCUGAAUUAUGUCUUUGUGUGUUAGUCCUCAAAGCAUUUGGAUGGAAAUUAUUCUGGUGUUGAUUUAAUUGUUCUAGCUGCUAACUUUGCCGGCUGCAGUACUUUUACUAACAGAGUACUGUGAGAGUGUCUCAAGUGAGACUGAGAAUGUUGGUCUUCCUAUGAUCUUGUUACAUGGCUUUGGAGCCUCAGUUUUCUCUUGGAAUUGAGUUAUGAAGCUGUUCGCUAAGGUCAUUGGUUCCAAAGUUCUGGCAUUUUAUAGAUCGAGGUUUGGGUUGACACUUAUAUUCAAACUCUGUCAGACAUUUAUCUUCUGGAAAUGAGGAAUCGAAAUCUGUGAAUCCGUACUCCAUGGCAUUUUCAAUGCUUGUUACCUUGUUUUUCAUUGAUUUUCUAGCAGCUAAGAAGGCCAUUG
Rosa chinensis is the source of this 765-nucleotide long non-coding RNA. RefSeq lists it as uncharacterized. The record is from RefSeq and is a predicted model, not a curated record. NCBI's taxonomy places the organism in Eukaryota, Viridiplantae, Streptophyta, Magnoliopsida, Rosales, Rosaceae. The transcript is spliced from 5 exons.